GCGGAUGUGGUGAAAUUGGUAGACACGCCAGACUUAGGAUCUGGUGCCGAAAGGUGUGUGGGUUCGAGUCCCCCCCUCCGCA
Molecule: transfer RNA, 82 nt
Filed under: Flavobacteriia bacterium
Lineage: Bacteria; Pseudomonadati; Bacteroidota; Flavobacteriia
Description: tRNA-Leu
Rfam family: tRNA
About the family: Transfer RNA (tRNA) molecules are approximately 80 nucleotides in length.
Source: RNAcentral